RNAcentral lists this ribosomal RNA (357 nucleotides) under uncultured Streptococcus sp. RNAcentral's name for it is "bacterial SSU rRNA". It matches the Rfam family "Bacterial small subunit ribosomal RNA", at positions 1024 to 1382 of the family's 1533-position model. The record is from RNAcentral. Lineage: Bacteria; Bacillati; Bacillota; Bacilli; Lactobacillales; Streptococcaceae.
UACAUCGGUGACAGGUGGUGGCAUGGUUGUCGUCAGCUCGUGUCGUGAGAUGUUGGUUAAGUCCCGCAACGAGCGCAACCCCUAUUGUUAGUUGCCAUCAUUCAGUUGGGCACUCUAGCGAGACUGCCGGUAAUAAACCGGAGGAAGGUGGGGAUGACGUCAAAUCAUCAUGCCCCUUAUGACCUGGGCUACACACGUGCUACAAUGGUUGGUACAACGAGUUGCGAGUCGGUGACGGCGAGCUAAUCUCUUAAAGCCAAUCUCAGUUCGGAUUGUAGGCUGCAACUCGCCUACAUGAAGUCGGAAUCGCUAGUAAUCGCGGAUCAGCACGCCGCGGUGAAUACGUUCCCGGGCCUU